This 441-nucleotide ribosomal RNA is filed under the name uncultured bacterium. RNAcentral describes it as "bacterial SSU rRNA". It matches the Rfam family "Bacterial small subunit ribosomal RNA", at positions 958 to 1398 of the family's 1533-position model. The record is from RNAcentral.
AACGCGAAGAACCUUACCUGGGCUCGAACGGCUCACGAAAGUCUUUGGAAACAGAGAUUUCCCGCAAGGGACGGGAGUCGAGGUGCUGCAUGGCUGUCGUCAGCUCGUGUCGUGAGAUGUUGGGUUAAGUCCCGCAACGAGCGCAACCCUUGUCCUGUGUUACCAUGCCGAAAGGCGGCACUCGCAGGAGACCGCCAGCGAUAAGCUGGAGGAAGGUGGGGAUGACGUCAAGUCCUCAUGGCCUUUAUGUCCAGGGCUACACACGUGCUACAAUGGGCGGUACAAAGCGCUGCUAAGCCGCAAGGCGGAGCCAAUCGCAAAAAGCCGCUCUCAGUUCGGAUUGCAGGCUGCAACUCGCCUGCAUGAAGCUGGAAUCGCUAGUAAUGCUAUAUCAGAACGAUAGCGUGAAUACGUUCCCGGGCCUUGUACACACCGGAGUGC